RNAcentral lists this ribosomal RNA (253 nucleotides) under uncultured bacterium. RNAcentral's name for it is "partial 16S ribosomal RNA". It matches the Rfam family "Bacterial small subunit ribosomal RNA", at positions 524 to 776 of the family's 1533-position model. The record is from RNAcentral.
UACGUAGGGUGCAGGCGUUAAUCGAAAUUACUGGGCGUAAAGCGUGCGCAGGCGGUCUUUUAAGUCAGAUGUGAAAUCCCCGGGCUUAACCUGGGAACUGCGUUUGAAACUGGAAGGCUAGAGUGUGGCAGAGGGGGGUGGAAUUCCACGUGUAGCAGUGAAAUGCGUAGAGAUGUGGAGGAACACCGAUGGCGAAGGCAGCCCCCUGGGCUAACACUGACGCUCAUGCACGAAAGCGUGGGGAGCAAACAGG